RNAcentral lists this small nuclear RNA (22 nucleotides) under Arabidopsis thaliana (thale cress). Its description in RNAcentral is "snRNA_17369". Lineage: Eukaryota; Viridiplantae; Streptophyta; Magnoliopsida; Brassicales; Brassicaceae. The record is from RNAcentral.
CUGAGUUUAAGCAUAUCAAUAA